CGGCGAGUGGCGAACGGGUGAGUAAUACAUCGGAACGUGUCCUGUAGUGGGGGAUAGCCCGGCGAAAGCCGGAUUAAUACCGCAUACGAUCUACGGAUGAAAGCGGGGGAUCGCAAGACCUCGCGCUAUAGGGGCGGCCGAUGGCGGAUUAGCUAGUUGGUGGGGUAAAGGCCCACCAAGGCGACGAUCCGUAGCUGGUCUGAGAGGACGACCAGCCACACUGGGACUGAGACACGGCCCAGACUCCUACGGGAGGCAGCAGUGGGGAAUUUUGGACAAUGGGCGCAAGCCUGAUCCAGCAAUGCCGCGUGUGUGAAGAAGGCCUUCGGGUUGUAAAGCACUUUUGUCCGGAAAGAAAUCCUCUGGGUUAAUACCCCGGGGGGAUGACGGUACCGGAAGAAUAAGCACCGGCUAACUACGUGCCAGCAGCCGCGGUAAUACGUAGGGUGCGAGCGUUAAUCGGAAUUACUGGGCGUAAAGCGUGCGCAGGCGGUGAUGUAAGACCGAUGUGAAAUCCCCGGGCUUAACCUGGGAACUGCAUUGGUGACUGCAUCGCUGGAGUAUGGCAGAGGGGGGUAGAAUCCACGUGUAGCAGUGAAAUGCGUAGAGAUGUGGAGGAAUACCGAUGGCGAAGGCA
RNAcentral lists this ribosomal RNA (637 nucleotides) under Burkholderia sp. Ms97. RNAcentral's name for it is "bacterial SSU rRNA". It matches the Rfam family "Bacterial small subunit ribosomal RNA", at positions 89 to 723 of the family's 1533-position model. The record is from RNAcentral. Lineage: Bacteria; Pseudomonadati; Pseudomonadota; Betaproteobacteria; Burkholderiales; Burkholderiaceae.